CGGGACACGUGGUAUCCUGUCUGAAUAUGGGGGGACCAUCCUCCAAGGCUAAAUACUCCUGACUGACCGAUAGUGAACCAGUACCGUGAGGGAAAGGCGAAAAGAACCCCGGCGAGGGGAGUGAAAAAGAACCUGAAACCGUGUACGUACAAGCAGUGGGAGCACGCUUAGGCGUGUGACUGCGUACCUUUUGUAUAAUGGGUCAGCGACUUAUAUUCUGUAGCAAGGUUAACCGAAUAGGGGAGCCGAAGGGAAACCGAGUCUUAACUGGGCGUUAAGUUGCAGGGUAUAGACCCGAAACCCGGUGAUCUAGCCAUGGGCAGGUUGAAGGUUGGGUAACACUAACUGGAGGACCGAACCGACUAAUGUUGAAAAAUUAGCGGAUGACUUGUGGCUGGGGGUGAAAGGCCAAUCAAACCGGGAGAUAGCUGGUUCUCCCCGAAAGCUAUUUAGGUAGCGCCUCGUGAAUUCAUCUCCGGGGGUAGAGCACUGUUUCGGCAAGGGGGUCAUCCCGACUUACCAACCCGAUGCAAACUGCGAAUACCGGAGAAUGUUAUCACGGGAGACACACGGCGGGUGCUAACGUCCGUCGUGAAGAGGGAAACAACCCAGACCGCCAGCUAAGGUCCCAAAGUCAUGGUUAAGUGGGAAACGAUGUGGGAAGGCCCAGACAGCCAGGAUGUUGGCUUAGAAGCAGCCAUCAUUUAAAGAAAGCGUAAUAGCUCACUGGUCGAGUCGGCCUGCGCGGAAGAUGUAACGGGGCUAAACCAUGCACCGAAGCUGCGGCAGCGACGCUGAUGCGUUGUUGGGUAGGGGAGCGUUCUGUAAGCCUGUGAAGGUGUGCUGUGAGGCAUGCUGGAGGUAUCAGAAGUGCGAAUGCUGACAUAAGUAACGAUAAAGCGGGUGAAAAGCCCGCUCGCCGGAAGACCAAGGGUUCCUGUCCAACGUUAAUCGGGGCAGGGUGAGUCGACCCCUAAGGCGAGGCCGAAAGGCGUAGUCGAUGGGAAACAGGUUAAUAUUCCUGUACUUGGUGUUACUGCGAAGGGGGGACGGAGAAGGCUAUGUUGGCCGGGCGACGGUUGUCCCGGUUUAAGCGUGUAGGCUGGUUUUCCAGGCAAAUCCGGAAAAUCAAGGCUGAGGCGUGAUGACGAGGCACUACGGUGCUGAAGCAACAAAUGCCCUGCUUCCAGGAAAAGCCUCUAAGCAUCAGGUAACAUCAAAUCGUACCCCAAACCGACACAGGUGGUCAGGUAGAGAAUACCAAGGCGCUUGAGAGAACUCGGGUGAAGGAACUAGGCAAAAUGGUGCCGUAACUUCGGGAGAAGGCACGCUGAUAUGUAGGUGAAGCGACUUGCUCGUGGAGCUGAAAUCAGUCGAAGAUACCAGCUGGCUGCAACUGUUUAUUAAAAACACAGCACUGUGCAAACACGAAAGUGGACGUAUACGGUGUGACGCCUGCCCGGUGCCGGAAGGUUAAUUGAUGGGGUCAGCGCAAGCGAAGCUCUUGAUCGAAGCCCCGGUAAACGGCGGCCGUAACUAUAACGGUCCUAAGGUAGCGAAAUUCCUUGUCGGGUAAGUUCCGACCUGCACGAAUGGCGUAAUGAUGGCCAGGCUGUCUCCACCCGAGACUCAGUGAAAUUGAACUCGCUGUGAAGAUGCAGUGUACCCGCGGCAAGACGGAAAGACCCCGUGAACCUUUACUAUAGCUUGACACUGAACAUUGAGCCUUGAUGUGUAGGAUAGGUGGGAGGCUUUGAAGUGUGGACGCCAGUCUGCAUGGAGCCGGCCUUGAAAUACCACCCUUUAAUGUUUGAUGUUCUAACGUUGACCCGUGAUCCGGGUUGCGGACAGUGUCUGGUGGGUAGUUUGACUGGGGCGGUCUCCUCCUAAAGAGUAACGGAGGAGCACGAAGGUUGGCUAAUCCUGGUCGGACAUCAGGAGGUUAGUGCAAUGGCAUAAGCCAGCUUGACUGCGAGCGUGACGGCGCGAGCAGGUGCGAAAGCAGGUCAUAGUGAUCCGGUGGUUCUGAAUGGAAG
Molecule: ribosomal RNA, 2036 nt
Filed under: Escherichia coli
Lineage: Bacteria; Pseudomonadati; Pseudomonadota; Gammaproteobacteria; Enterobacterales; Enterobacteriaceae
Description: partial 23S ribosomal RNA
Rfam family: Bacterial large subunit ribosomal RNA
Source: RNAcentral